AGUGAACGCUGGCGGUAGGCCUAACACAUGCAAGUCGAACGGCAGCACAGUAAGAGCUUGCUCUUACGGGUGGCGAGUGGCGGACGGGUGAGGAAUACAUCGGAAUCUACUUUUUCGUGGGGGAUAACGUAGGGAAACUUACGCUAAUACCGCAUACGACCUACGGGUGAAAGCAGGGGAUCUUCGGACCUUGCGCGAUUGAAUGAGCCGAUGUCGGAUUAGCUAGUUGGCGGGGUAAAGGCCCACCAAGGCGACGAUCCGUAGCUGGUCUGAGAGGAUGAGCAGCCACACUGAAACUGAGACACGGUCCAGACUCCUACGGGAGGCAGCAGUGGGGAAUAUUGGACAAUGGGCGCAAGCCUAAUCCAGCCAUACCGCGUGGGUGAAGAGGGCCUUCGGGUUGUAAAGCCCUUUUGUUGGGAAAGAAAAGCAGCAGGUUAAUACCCCGCUGUUCUGACGGUACCCAAAGAAUAAGCACCGGCUAACUUCGUG
RNAcentral lists this ribosomal RNA (492 nucleotides) under uncultured bacterium. RNAcentral describes it as "partial 16S ribosomal RNA". It matches the Rfam family "Bacterial small subunit ribosomal RNA", at positions 29 to 507 of the family's 1533-position model. The record is from RNAcentral.